AGAGUAGGUGAGGUAGUUGCAGGCUUGUUUGAUUGACAAGUUUGAGGAAAGUCCGGACUCCCGAAAGACCAAACUUGCUGGGUAACGCCCAGUACAGGCGACUGUGAGGAUAGUGCCACAGAAACAUACCGCCUUUUUUUCAGUCAACAGUAAAAAAAAACUGAUAAUUGGAAAAGGUAAGGGUGCAAAGGUGGGGUAAGAGCCCACCAGCAGUAUCGAGAGGUACUGGCUCGGUAAACCCCGGUUGGGAGCAAGGUCGAAGGAACAAUGGUUGGUCUUUUUCCAGUUCCGUUUUAGGUGAACCGCUAGAGAUGUUUGGUAACAGCCAUCCCAGAUAGAUAACUACCCCCAAUAAGACGUAGUAUACUAUGUCUUUAACUGGGAACAAAAUCCGGCUUAUUUUCCUACUCUCCUA
This 415-nucleotide RNase P RNA is filed under the name Stanieria cyanosphaera PCC 7437. RNAcentral's name for it is "Bacterial RNase P class A". It matches the Rfam family "Bacterial RNase P class A". Rfam says of the family: Ribonuclease P (RNase P) is a ubiquitous endoribonuclease, found in archaea, bacteria and eukarya as well as chloroplasts and mitochondria. Its best characterised activity is the generation of mature 5'-ends of tRNAs by cleaving the 5'-leader elements of precursor-tRNAs. Lineage: Bacteria; Bacillati; Cyanobacteriota; Cyanophyceae; Pleurocapsales; Dermocarpellaceae. The record is from Rfam by way of RNAcentral.